Molecule: ribosomal RNA, 559 nt
Filed under: uncultured bacterium
Lineage: Bacteria
Description: bacterial SSU rRNA
Rfam family: Bacterial small subunit ribosomal RNA
Source: RNAcentral
ACGGGUGCGUAACGCGUAGGAACGUGUCUUGAGGUGGGGGACAACCCUGGGAAACUGGGGCUAAUACCGCAUAUGUCCUGAGGGACAAAGCAGCGAUGCGCCUUGAGAGCGGCCUGCGUCCGAUUAGGUUGUUGGUGGGGUAAUGGCCUACCAAGCCUGCGAUCGGUAGCUGGUCUGAGAGGAUGAUCAGCCACACUGGGACUGAGACACGGCCCAGACUCCUACGGGAGGCAGCAGUGGGGAAUAUUGGACAAUGGGCGCAAGCCUGAUCCAGCAAUGCCGCGUGGGUGAAGAAGGUCUUCGGAUCGUAAAGCCCUUUCGACAGGGACGAUGAUGACGGUACCUGUAGAAGAAGCCCCGGCUAACUUCGUGCCAGCAGCCGCGGUAAUACGAAGGGGGCUAGCGUUGCUCGGAAUUACUGGGCGUAAAGGGCGCGUAGGCGGCUUGGCCAGUCAGGCGUGAAAUUCCUGGGCUUAACCUGGGGACUGCGCUUGAUACUGCUAGGCUUGAGGCCGAGAGAGGGUGGUGGAAUUCCCAGUGUAGAGGUGAAAUUCGUAGA